CGGGAAUUUUGGGCAAUGGGCGAAAGCCUGACCCAGCAACGCCGCGUGAGGGAUGAAGUGUUUCGGUAUGUAAACCUCGAAAGAAUGGGAAGAAUAAAUGACGGUACCAUUUAUAAGCUCCGGCUAACUACGUGCCAGCAGCCGCGGUAAUACGGAGGGUGCGAGCGUUGUUCGGAAUUACUGGGCGUAAAGCGCGUGCAGGCGGUCUCUUAAGUCUGGUGUGAGAGCCCGGGGCUCACCCCCGGAAGGGCACUGGAGACUGGGAGGCUAGAGUACCGGAGAGGAAGGUGGAAUUCCUGGUGUAGCGGUGAAAUGCGUAGAUAUCAGGAGGAACACCCGUGGCGAAGGCGGCCUUCUGGACGGCUACUGACGCUGAGACGCGAAAGCGUGGGGAGCAAACA
RNAcentral lists this ribosomal RNA (401 nucleotides) under uncultured bacterium. Its description in RNAcentral is "bacterial SSU rRNA". It matches the Rfam family "Bacterial small subunit ribosomal RNA", at positions 356 to 774 of the family's 1533-position model. The record is from RNAcentral.